RNAcentral lists this ribosomal RNA (425 nucleotides) under uncultured bacterium. Its description in RNAcentral is "bacterial SSU rRNA". It matches the Rfam family "Bacterial small subunit ribosomal RNA", at positions 356 to 772 of the family's 1533-position model. The record is from RNAcentral.
GGGGGAUAUUGCGCAAUGGGCGAAAGCCUGACGCAGCGACGCCGCGUGGGUGAUGAAGGCCUUCGGGUCGUAAAGCCCUGUCGAGGGGAACGAAACGGUCUCGACCUAACACGUCGAGCCCCUGACGGUACCCCUAAAGGAAGCACCGGCUAACUCAGUGCCCGCAGCCGCGGUAAGACGGGGGGUGCGAGCGUUGUUCGGAAUUACUGGGCGUAAAGGGCGCGUAGGCGGCCUGUUAAGUCAGACGUGAAAUCCCUCGGCUCAACCGGGGAACUGCGUCUGAUACUGGCGGGCUUGAAUUCGGGAGAGGGAUGUGGAAUUCCAGGUGUAGCGGUGAAAUGCGUAGAUAUCUGGAGGAACACCGGUGGCGAAGGCGGCAUCCUGGACCGACAUUGACGCUGAGGCGCGAAAGCCAGGGGAGCAAA